GUAUAUUGGUACAAGGGUGAUGAGGAGCGCGCUGCCGAGCAAGAGAACUCAAAGAAGACCAGUGAGAAAGUUGAUAGAUGUAGUGAGGGAAGACAUGAGGGCAGUUGAUGUCAGAGAGGAGGUUGCAUGAGAUAGGCUUUCACAUGAGGUGUGGGGUUGUGACCGGACAUGGCCCUCAAACAUUUCGGACACCCGAUGUCACGUGUACAAGCCACGUGAGUAUCCCCAUCCUUUGCCAAUGCUGUGUGACCUCUGGACGUGACCCCUAACAUCUCAGACAUCCCCAUGCCACAUGCACAAGCCACGUUAUGACCUCAUUCUUUGUAGCUGCCUUGCCAAAAGUCGUGGGACGCACCAUCGAUUUGGGACGGGUCUGGAAAGGACCAUAUUCACAGGUGUCCCUGAACAUGAUGUCAUGCGACCAAAACGCCAGGAAACAUGAUCUCACUUUGUUUUCGCCGGAUGUGAUGUGAUUUUGUUUUUACCGGAUGUGACGUCAUUUCGUUUUUACUGGCUGUGACGUCAAUGGGGACAGGUGGCCCGGAAGGAGACGUCAUAGGCAACAAAUCAUUUAGUCAUUUUCCCUAUAUUAAUACUCUCUACUGUGACCAAUCUAAAAAAGGAGAAAAAGGCUUGUGUUUGUUAUGUUUGCUUCAGUUGUAUUGUACUAAGAAGCUUGGACACAAACGCAUACCAUUUUUCAGUUUGAUUAGCUGCUCAAUGAGCAAAGUCUGCGGAGAUAUCCUAAAGUCAAAAGUCGAGGACUGCUGUGUCGUCUUGAAAGUGAUGCUUUGCACCACUUUUGUGGCUUAUUUUUGUCUGUCAAAUUCUGAAUUGACAACUUCAGGGAGGGCGCAGCUUACCAGCUAUACAUAUUGUAUAUACAACCCCAAUUCCAAUGAAGUUGGGACGUUGUGUUAAACAUGAAUAAAAACAGAAUACAAUAAUUUGCAAAUCAUGUUCAACCGAUAUUUAAUUGAAUACACUACAAAGACAAGAUAUUUAAUGUUCAAACUGAUAAACUUGAUUGUUUUUAGCAAAUAAUCAUUAACUUAGAAUUUUAUGGCUGCAACACGUUUAAAAAAAGCUGUGACAGGUGGCAAAAAAGACUGAGAAAGUUGAGGAAUGCUCUUCAAACACCUGUUUGGAACAUCCCACAGGUGAACAGGCUAAUUGGGAACAGGUGGGUGGCAUGAUUGGGUAUAAAAGGAGCUUCCCUGAAUUGCUCAGUCAUUCACAAGCAAAGAUGGGGCGAGGUUCACCUCUUUGGGAACAAGUGCGUGAGAAAAUAGUUGAACAGUUUAAGGACAAUGUUCCUCAACGUACAAUUGCAAGGAAUUUAGGGAAUUCAUCAUCUACAGUCCAUAAUAUCAUUAAAAGGUUCAGAGAAUCUAGAGAAAUCACUGCAUAUAAGCGGCAAGGCCGAAAACCAACAUUGAAUGCCCGUGACCUUCGAUCCCUCAGGCAGCACUGCAUCAAAAACUGACAUCAAUGUGUAAAGGAUAUCACCACAUGGGCUCAGGAACACUUCAGAAAACCAAUGUCAGUAAAUACAAUUCGGCGCUACAUCCGUAAGUACAACCUGAAACUCUAGUAUGCAACGCAAAAGCGAUUUAUCAACAACACCCAGAAACGGCGCCAGCUUCUCUGCGCCCGUGCUCAUUGAAGAUGGACUGAUGCAAAGUGGAAAAGUGUUCUGUGGUCCGACGAGUCCACAUUUCAAAUUGUUUUUGGAAAUUGUGGGCCAGAGGAAAAGAGCCAUUUGGACUGUUAUGGACGCAAAGUUAAAAAGCCAGCAUCUUUGAUGGUAUGGGGCUGUGUUAGGGCCAAUGGCAUGGGUAACUUACACAUCUGUGAAGGCACCAUUAAUGCUGAAACAUACAUACAGGUUUUGGAGCAACAUAUGUUUCCAUCCAAGCAACGUAUUUUUCAUAGACGCCCCUUCUUAUUUCAGCAAGACAAUGCCAAACCACAUUCUGCAUGUGUUACAACAGCGUGGCUUUGUAGUAAAAGAGUGCGGGUACUAGACUGGCCUGCCUGCAGUCCAGACCUGUCUCCCAUUGAAAAUGUGUGGCGCAUUAUGAAGCACAAAAUACGACAACGGAGACUGUUGAACAGCUGAAGCUGUACAUCAAGCAAGAAUGGGAAAGAAUACCACCUACAAAGCUUCAACAAUUAGUGUCCUCAGUUCCCAAACGUUUAUUGAAUGUUGUUAAAACAAAAGGUGAUGUAACACAAUGGUGAACAUGACCCUGUCCCAGGUUUUUUGAAACAUGUUGCAGCAAUAAAAUUCUAAAUUAAUGAUUAUUUGCUAAAAACAAUCAAGUUUAUCAGUUUGAACAUUAAAUAUAUUGUAUUCUAUUAAAUAUAGGUCAAACAUGAUUUGCAAAUCAUUGUAUUCUGUUUUUAUUUAUGUUUAAUACAACGUCCCAACUUCAUUGGAAUUGGCGUUGUAUGUAUAAUUUCAAUGUGGUUAGGGUAUUUAAUUUUCCUAAAUUUCAUUAAAUUACAAAAGCAAACAAAAUUAUGCAAUGCUAAAAACAAUACUAAAAAAAUAUCAUAUUUCUACUAGGGGUUGGACUCAAUUAAAAAAAAUUAUCUAAUUAAUUUGAGGCUUUGUAAUAAAUCUAAAUUAAUCGCAUUUCAACUGUAUAACAAUUUUUGUCCUAAAAAGCAACAUGGUUUAAUUUAAAUAGAUUUUAUUGGACGACUGCAUCAAAUAAUUAAUACUGACAGGAACAUUGUUAACUCUGGAAGAAUGCUUUUAAUUGCAUUUAAAUACAAAACAGUAGAAAAACUAAUAGAAAAUAUCCCUGGCCAAAAUCAAACAGACCUAAUGUUAAAGAGUCAUUUUAGAACAGUUUUUUAGAACAGUAUUGCCGAGAAAUGGUUUCUAUGUGGCACCUUUAUCUAGGCUACCAUCGAGCAGUUUUUUUGUUUGUUUGUUUUUUAAUUAAUGAAAUUUGCCUCCCAUCAGUCCUUGCAACACUGUUUUAUCCAAUAUCUCCAUUUUGGUAACUGAGCGCUGAUGUGUGCAUCAGUGUAAUCGGUGUACCAUGAAAUCGUACAAUGACAACGGUUCCGCAUUGUAUGGAACACAAAAUGUGAUUAA
Phycodurus eques (leafy seadragon) is the source of this 3112-nucleotide long non-coding RNA. RefSeq lists it as uncharacterized. The transcript has 3 exons. The record is from RefSeq and is a predicted model, not a curated record. NCBI's taxonomy places the organism in Eukaryota, Metazoa, Chordata, Actinopteri, Syngnathiformes, Syngnathidae.